UGAAAAAUUACCCUGGCUUUGCUUCUCAUGUCCAUUCCAGAACCACCAACCC
Molecule: small RNA, 52 nt
Filed under: Arabidopsis thaliana (thale cress)
Lineage: Eukaryota; Viridiplantae; Streptophyta; Magnoliopsida; Brassicales; Brassicaceae
Description: ATSL281830
Source: RNAcentral